UACAGAGGGGGCAAGCGUUGUUCGGAAUUAUUGGGCGUAAAGCGCGCGUAGGCGGCUUUGCAAGUCGGGUGUGAAAUCCCUCAGCUUAACUGAGGAAGUGCGCUCGAAACUGCAGAGCUUGAGUACCAAAGAGGAUGGCGGAAUUCCCCAAGUAGAGGUGAAAUUCGUAGAUAUGGGGAGGAACACCGGUGGCGAAGGCGGCCAUCUGGGUGGUCACUGACGCUGAGGCGCGAAAGCGUGGGUAUCAAACAGG
This 253-nucleotide ribosomal RNA is filed under the name uncultured bacterium. Its description in RNAcentral is "partial 16S ribosomal RNA". It matches the Rfam family "Bacterial small subunit ribosomal RNA", at positions 524 to 776 of the family's 1533-position model. The record is from RNAcentral.